RNAcentral lists this ribosomal RNA (574 nucleotides) under uncultured bacterium. RNAcentral's name for it is "bacterial SSU rRNA". It matches the Rfam family "Bacterial small subunit ribosomal RNA", at positions 274 to 863 of the family's 1533-position model. The record is from RNAcentral.
CGACGACGGGUAGGGGGCGUGAGAGCGUGGCCCCCCACACGGGAACUGAGACACGGUCCCGACGCCUACGGGCGGCAGCAGUGAGGAAUCUUGCCCAAUGGGGGAAACCCUGAGGCAGCGACACCGCGUGCGGGAUGAAGGCCUUCGGGUCGUAAACCGCUUUUCUGGGGGACGAGUAAGGACGGUACUCCAGGAAUAAGUCCCGGCUAACUACGUGCCAGCAGCCGCGGUAAAACGUAGGGGGCGAGCGUUAUCCGGAAUCACUGGGCGUAAAGGGCGUCUAGGCGGCAGCCUAAGUCCCGUGUGAAAGCUCCCGGCUCAACUGGGAGAGGGCAUGGGAGACUGGGCAGCUAGAGACUCGGAGGGGGGUGUGGAAUUCCCGGUGGAGUGGUGGAAUGCGUUGAGAUCGGGAGGAACACCAGUAGCGAAGGCGGCACCCUGGCCGAGAUCUGACGCUGAAGCGCGAGAGCGUGGGGAGCGAACGGGAUUAGAUACCCCGGUAGUCCACGCCGUAAACGAUGACAACUAGGUGUUGGGUGUCCAAGGAUGCUCAGUACCGCAGCAAACGCGAUAA